CAGGUUGGGCAGACAGCCGCCGCGCAGCGCGUAAGGCCUGCGGGGAGGAAAGUCCGGGCUACAGAGGGCGGGAUGCCGGCUAACGGCCGGGCGUGGCAACACGAUGGAAAGUGGAACAGAGAGCGAAACCGCCGAUGGCUGUUUUCAGCACAGGCAAGGGUGAAAAGGUGCGGUAAGAGCGCACCGUGCACUUGGUAACAAGGUGCAGCAGGCUAAACCCCAUCCGUAGCAAGACCAAACAGAACGCGCAGACGCGGCCCGCCGAGCGUUCGGGUAGGUUGCUGGAGCGCCCCGGCAACGGUGCGCCUAGAGGAAUGGCUGUCCAACGACAGAACCCGGCUUACCGCCCGACCUGUAUG
RNAcentral lists this RNase P RNA (359 nucleotides) under Neisseria sp. WF04. RNAcentral's name for it is "RNase P RNA component class A". It matches the Rfam family "Bacterial RNase P class A". From Rfam's summary of the family: Ribonuclease P (RNase P) is a ubiquitous endoribonuclease, found in archaea, bacteria and eukarya as well as chloroplasts and mitochondria. Its best characterised activity is the generation of mature 5'-ends of tRNAs by cleaving the 5'-leader elements of precursor-tRNAs. Lineage: Bacteria; Pseudomonadati; Pseudomonadota; Betaproteobacteria; Neisseriales; Neisseriaceae. The record is from RNAcentral. RNAcentral also lists the same sequence under 1 other name.